Molecule: long non-coding RNA, 2693 nt
Filed under: Nicotiana benthamiana
Lineage: Eukaryota; Viridiplantae; Streptophyta; Magnoliopsida; Solanales; Solanaceae
Description: long non-coding RNA (NBEN_LNC003444)
Source: RNAcentral
GAUACAAGCCCUAGCCUCCUCCAUCUCUCUCUCGCCCUCUCUCAAAGUCGUUGCCGCUCCACCACCGCCAUCAUCGUGCGCCGCUGUCGGUGAUGGUACAAUCGGCCCUAUUUUUCCACCCUAUUCUCUCCUUAACCUCCUCUCUCCAAAUCUCCAAGAUAAAUUCCCUAAGAAACCCCCCUCAAAACCCACGCAUUUUAGAUCUUAGGGAACCCUAAGCCGCUUUUUUUUCACAAAUUCGGGAUGAUUGAGCCACCAUUUCCACCUAAUGUUUACAUACAUGGAUAGAGCUCGACAAGGGAUACCAUUUUGCAUUGGUCUUAACCCAAAAUUUUGGCGAUCGGAAUUCCGGCGACCCCCACUUCCGCCGCCGCCUCCAGCGCUCUUCCAUUCUUGCCUCCAAUCGACUCGGACAUGAUUUUAUUAUCGAUUAUACCGAAAUCGAGAUUCAACUCAUCGUAUUAUAGUAUUUUGGUAUCAAUCAACAAUAAAACCAUGACCGGGUCGAAUCACCAUCAUCGCUGCCUUUGUCUCACCACUGUUUGUGUGCUCGAGUAGUCGGUAAGUCUUCAAAUUUGUCUCCCCUUUCCUGUUUCUGAUUUUCAGCUUGUGCUUCAUAUUUAAUUUUAAGGUUUACUCUUUAUAAUUUUGUUAGUAGUAUUUAUAGGUUAACUAAGCUAUUGUAAUGUUAGUUGUGAAUCGCUUGUUAGUUCAUAGCAUAAAAGCUCGUUGUCUUUGGCAUCGGCUUCCAUCGCUUGGUAUAACCCUAUUUCCUCUUUCCUUUUUCUUCUUUAUUCUUUCUUCUCUUUUCUUCUUCUCUGAUUUUCUGUGUGUAUUUUUCAUUAGGUUCAGGGAUUAAUCAUAGCCAUGAUUCUGUUUGUCGUAUUAUCAGUGUAUGUAAUUCGUUGUUAUUUUGAAAUCAUAUAUUUUUUUCAUAUCUUUAAAUUAGUUUUUUUUACCUGGCUGGUCGAUUAGCUCGUAUAUAGUUCAUCAGUUUUGAUUUUUGGUUCUUCGACCUAGCUGGUCGACUAUGUCAUAUGCAUUUGUUCUUGUUGAAGUUUUAGUUUUAUCGACCUAGCCGGUCGAUUGUUUGUUUGAUCGUGCUUGUUACUCUUGGAUAUUUGUUUCUCAACCUAGCCGGUCGAUUGUUUUAUCGUUUGUUUGAAUAUUAAGUUAGUCGCGACUACAAAUGAUGGAUUCAAUUCAAAUUGUUGGAUUUUUUGAUUCACUGAGUUAGUCGGUUCAUUGAAUAAUUUGUUGAGCUUGAUCUUAUAUUCCUUUAAGCAUGAUUUAGUUUGAGUUUUCAGCUUAAAUAAGUCAUGUAUUGAUUAAAAACUAAAGUAGUGAGAAAUACUCGAGUAUAAGGUACUCGUUUGGUUAUUUUUACUGUUUAAAGGGUUGUUUGGAGUACACUGCUCUUAGCACUAUUCAUAGUUGGUAUUAUCUUUUGGACAGAUUUUUUACCAAAAAAAUCUGUCAUUUGAAUAGUUGGGACAGAUUUUAGAUGGAAAAUCCGUCAUUUGGACAUAUUCAAUGAAGUAAUUCAAUCAUUCACCUUCCUAUAAAGGAAGAGGUCUUUCCUCACUUAAAAAAACACUCUUUCUUACAUUGGAGGAUAGAUAGCUUCUGAACAUGUUUUACACUGAGAAAAACACAAAAAACUUUGAGAAAAAUCAGCAGCUAAAACAUCGAAAAGUGAGCCGAAAAGCUGAAAGUUUGUGAGUUAUUUCUUUCUUUCCUAAGUCGGUGAAUUUUGGUCUUGGUUCCUGAGUCACUUCGGAUCUAAAAAAAUGAUGUUCGGUUUUUGUUUCAUUUGACUGGUGUUUGGCUUGCUGGUUCCUUGCUCUGCUGUCUGUUUUUCUUCUAUUUUCUACAAACUAGGUAUUUCUUUUAGCUCUUUAAUUUAGCUUUUAGUUGCAUAAAGCUAUUGUAAUGAAUGUGUUGGUGUGUUAUUAUUGUUACUUUACAUUUGUGUUUGAUCUUUUACUCAUAAAUGGAUGAAUGAAUGUUCAAAUUCACGAAUAUAUGCUUUGUUUCUCUUUUAAGUUUCAACUCUCCUAAACUCAAAAGUUGUGCAUGAUUGAAGCUAUGGUGACAGAUUUAUGGCGUAGUUCAGUUGAGGAGAAAGUAAAUAUAAGACACAUUUGAAAUCCUCCGAUAGUUGAUAGCUCAGAUAAAUGUUGAGUUUUUAAGUCGAAGAUGUGCGUAUGGUAGAGUUUAAGCUUAAGAGUAGUUGUAUUGACAUUCUUUGGUCCAAGUUUUUUUUUGUGAUUAUGAAUUUGUACUAGUUUGCUCUAGUUUUAUUUUAAGGUUUUUUUUCUUUUCGUUAAGUUUGACAUAAACUUUGUUCCCUUAUAUUUUUAUUUGCGUUAGUAGAGUUUUUGCAAAUAAGUUCUAAUACAUGUUAAAGUGUUUAAGUAGAUAGCGUAUUGUUUUGUUUAUUUAUUUGUUCUCUAGUUCGAAUAUAAGAAUGGAUAUUUAGAAGUUCCUCCUUCGUUUUAAUAUCUUUUAAAAGGUUGUUAAAAUAUAUUUUAGCUUGAAAAGUUGUGUAUCAUUGUGGAGUUAGUAUUUAUGUUAGAGUGAAUUUGAUAGUAAAAUUAAGCUUGUUUAAAAAAAAAUUCUCUUCUGUAUAUAUUUUAAGGAAUUCCUGUUGGAUAGUAAGUUAUCAAAUUAAGUUUUUACAUGUUCUUUCU